This 492-nucleotide ribosomal RNA is filed under the name uncultured bacterium. RNAcentral's name for it is "partial 16S ribosomal RNA". It matches the Rfam family "Bacterial small subunit ribosomal RNA", at positions 29 to 507 of the family's 1533-position model. The record is from RNAcentral.
AGUGAACGCUGGCGGUAGGCCUAACACAUGCAAGUCGAACGGCAGCACAGUAAGAGCUUGCUCUUACGGGUGGCGAGUGGCGGACGGGUGAGGAAUACAUCGGAAUCUACUUUUUCGUGGGGGAUAACGUAGGGAAACUUACGCUAAUACCGCAUACGACCUACGGGUGAAAGCAGGGGAUCUUCGGACCUUGCGCGAUUGAAUGAGCCGAUGUCGGAUUAGCUAGUUGGCGGGGUAAAGGCCCACCAAGGCGACGAUCCGUAGCUGGUCUGAGAGGAUGAUCAGCCACACUAGAACUGAGACACGGUCCAGACUCCUACGGGAGGCAGCAGUGGGUAAUAUUGGACAAUGGGGGCAAGCCUGAUCCAGCCAGACCGAGUAGGUGAAGCAGGACUUCGGGUUGUAAAGCCCUUUUGUUGGGAAAGAAAAGCAGCAGGUUAAUACCCAGCUGUUCUGACGGUACCCAAAGAAUAAGCACCGGCUAACUUCGUG